RNAcentral lists this ribosomal RNA (1447 nucleotides) under uncultured bacterium. RNAcentral's name for it is "bacterial SSU rRNA". It matches the Rfam family "Bacterial small subunit ribosomal RNA". The record is from RNAcentral.
GAGUUUGAUCCUGGCUCAGGAUGAACGCUGGCGGCGUGCUUAACACAUGCAAGUCGAACGAACCUUCGGGUUAGUGGCGGACGGGUGAGUAACGCGUGGGAAUCUGCCCUCAGGAGGGGGAUAACGGCUGGAAACGGCCGCUAAUACCCCAUAUGCCGAGAGGUGAAAUGAAUUUCGCCUGAGGAUGAGCCCGCGUCUGAUUAGCUAGUUGGUGAGGUAAGAGCUCACCAAGGCAUCGAUCAGUAGCUGGUCUGAGAGGAUGAUCAGCCACACUGGGACUGAGACACGGCCCAGACUCCUACGGGAGGCAGCAGUGGGGAAUUUUCCGCAAUGGGCGAAAGCCUGACGGAGCAACGCCGCGUGAGGGAUGAAGGCCUCUGGGCUGUAAACCUCUUUUCUCAAGGAAGAAGAUCUGACGGUACUUGAGGAAUAAGCCACGGCUAAUUCCGUGCCAGCAGCCGCGGUAAUACGGGAGUGGCAAGCGUUAUCCGGAAUUAUUGGGCGUAAAGCGUCCGCAGGCGGCCCUUCAAGUCUGCUGUUAAAAAGUGGAGCUUAACUCCAUCAUGGCAGUGGAAACUGUUGGGCUUGAGUGUGGUAGGGGCAGAGGGAAUUCCCGGUGUAGCGGUGAAAUGCGUAGAUAUCGGGAAGAACACCAGUGGCGAAGGCGCUCUGCUGGGCCAUAACUGACGCUCAUGGACGAAAGCCAGGGGAGCGAAAGGGAUUAGAUACCCCUGUAGUCCUGGCCGUAAACGAUGAACACUAGGUGUCGGGGGAAUCGACCCCCUCGGUGUCGUAGCCAACGCGUUAAGUGUUCCGCCUGGGGAGUACGCACGCAAGUGUGAAACUCAAAGGAAUUGACGGGGGCCCGCACAAGCGGUGGAGUAUGUGGUUUAAUUCGAUGCAACGCGAAGAACCUUACCAGGGUUUGACAUCCUGCGAACCUCUUGGAAACGAGAGGGUGCCUUCGGGAACGCAGUGACAGGUGGUGCAUGGCUGUCGUCAGCUCGUGUCGUGAGAUGUUGGGUUAAGUCCCGCAACGAGCGCAACCCACGUCUUUAGUUGCCAGCAUUUAGUUGGGCACUCUAGAGAGACCGCCGGUGAUAAACCGGAGGAAGGUGUGGAUGACGUCAAGUCAUCAUGCCCCUUACAUCCUGGGCUACACACGUACUACAAUGCUACGGACAAAGAGCAGCAAGUUCGCGAGGACAAGCAAAUCUCAUAAACCGUGGCUCAGUUCAGAUCGUAGGCUGCAACUCGCCUACGUGAAGGAGGAAUCGCUAGUAAUCGCAGGUCAGCAUACUGCGGUGAAUACGUUCCCGGGCCUUGUACGCACCGCCCGUCACACCAUGGAAGUUGGCCACGCCCGAAGCCGUUACUCCAACCCUCGGGAGGAGGACGUCGAAGGUGGGGCUGAUGACUGGGGUGAAGUCGUAACAAGGUAACCGUA